RNAcentral lists this non-coding RNA (139 nucleotides) under uncultured Catenibacillus sp. RNAcentral describes it as "FMN riboswitch (RFN element)". It matches the Rfam family "FMN riboswitch aptamer (RFN element)". From Rfam's summary of the family: The RFN element is a highly conserved domain that is found frequently in the 5'-untranslated regions of prokaryotic mRNAs that encode for flavin mononucleotide (FMN) biosynthesis and transport proteins. This element is a metabolite-dependent riboswitch that directly binds FMN in the absence of proteins. Lineage: Bacteria; Bacillati; Bacillota; Clostridia; Lachnospirales; Lachnospiraceae. The record is from RNAcentral.
CGUUUUCGGGGCAGGGUGAAAUUCCCGACCGGCGGUAUAGUCCGCGAGCUGCGGCUUUGCACAGGAAACUGGCAGAGCAUUUAACAGUUGAUUUGGUGAGAUUCCAAAACCGACAGUAAAGUCUGGAUGAGAGAAAGCG